Long non-coding RNA from Felis catus (domestic cat), 1556 nucleotides. RefSeq lists it as uncharacterized. The transcript has 2 exons. The record is from RefSeq and is a predicted model, not a curated record. NCBI's taxonomy places the organism in Eukaryota, Metazoa, Chordata, Mammalia, Carnivora, Felidae.
CCCCGCCCCUCGUCCACCGCUGCCCGCGCGCCACCCGAGUCGCUGUUCCGGAUCCCGCAGUGUUGCGGCUGCGGGAGCCGCCGGCUCGCCGCCCCCGCGCCUGCACCUGUGCCCGCAGGUGUCGUGCGCCCCGCGUAGUGACAGUCCUCCGGCUGAGGAAGCCUGCCCGGGAGCACCCCUGUUGCCCACAACGGCGCUCCCUGGCCUCGUUGCCCUUCUCUCUGAGCACCUACUUCCCAGGUGGCCGGGCGCGCGGGCCCUCAGCCCCAUGAGAGCCCUCGGGAGACAAAGGGAGUCGAGCUGGAGUACGCUCGCUCUCCGAGGACGGGGCGCUCGACGCUAGGGCCAGCCUCAGGGUCGCGGUGUCUAUCACAGGAGAUGAGUGAAUGCAUCACAGUGCCCACCACCCUGUCCGAGGGCAAGCAGGCCCUGCAAAUGAGGGAAGGGCACCUGGCAUUGCCUCCACCCCGGGCCUUAGACAUCCCCAGGAAUUUCUCUUUGGAUAAGGAGGAUUCUUCUCCAUUAUAGGAAAGACAGCAAGGUGAAAUGGUGAUAAAUGGCUUUGACCUACAUCCUCUGUGAAAGUCUCAGAAACUCAGGAGCCUGGGGAACGGUGCCCAGCUGAAGCCCCAGCUCAUGGUUUCAGUGGGGAAACACAGGCCCAGCAAAGGCAGGCACGGAAGGAUGUUCUGGCCUCAGAUCAGGGCCCGGCUCCUCCAGGAGCGAGCAGCCUGGUCCUGUCCCAGGUGGAGGACAGAGCUGGAGAGAGGACCCCACUGUCAAAAUCCAAAACAAACAGAGACCAACCUUGCAAACUCCCUGAACAGACACCACCAGUUUGGUCAUACCAACGAAGCUGAAGGUAGCGGAUUUUGCAAGGCUAAGUUGACCCAAGUCAUUUCUUGCUGUGCCUCUGAAAAUCAGGAGCAAAGCUUACUCUCUUUUCCGAGGUUGAUGUGGAAGGGCCACUAGCCAAUUCCAUCGCUUAGGAAAAUUCUGAUAUGAAAACCAAUCCCUGUGGAGAAUGAACACUGUGCUUUCUCACCAUAGAAGCUGCUCUUUAAGGACACCCCCCUGAGCCCCAUUCCGUGUUUUGGUUUGAGUGUUCCCGGCUUUUCCAACUGUCUUUUUGGUGUAUACACAACAAACUCAAUCAUGACGGCUUUGGCCAUUCGUUGGUUUUAUUUACUUCUGUUACAUAGGGACUUUUGACGUUUCAUGGUGUCAGAAGUGGGAUUCAAACAGAAGACAGCCCCCCACCCCCACCCCACACACAGACCCCGAGGCUGCUGAGCAAACAGACCCUGGCACCCACAGAGCCCACUGAGCUCACCACUUUCUUGUCGACCCUGAAGAGUGAAGAUGUAAAGGAUCCUUUUUCUCCUCUGUCUGAAGUUAUCUAUGACUCACAACAGUUUGGUAAAGUGUAUCUUUGCAACAAAGGUUGAAACAUUUUUCUUCCCCCUCCCCCCACUCCUCCAGAAAUUAGAAACUCUUACUAUUCUCUUUUUAAAUUGUUUUAUUUUUUAAUUAAAUACUCUUAUUUUUCAUGACAA